Cervus elaphus (red deer) is the source of this 162-nucleotide long non-coding RNA. RefSeq lists it as uncharacterized. Lineage: Eukaryota; Metazoa; Chordata; Mammalia; Artiodactyla; Cervidae. The transcript has 3 exons. The record is from RefSeq and is a predicted model, not a curated record.
ACUUCCAUACAACUGUAAAACAAAACUAAAGCAAGGAGCUAAGUGAGGAAUAAAGCAAUGGAACAAAACUAACAAAUAUGUUGAGAGGAAAGGAAAGAAAGAAAAAAAAAGAAAGAAUAGAUAUGCAAAGCUAAAUAGGGAUAGAUGAAGAGUAUUUAUAUU